Molecule: non-coding RNA, 22 nt
Filed under: Xenopus tropicalis (tropical clawed frog)
Lineage: Eukaryota; Metazoa; Chordata; Amphibia; Anura; Pipidae
Also listed under: 3 other names
Source: RNAcentral
UUUCCGUAGGUGAACCUGCGGA